RNAcentral lists this long non-coding RNA (227 nucleotides) under Panax ginseng (ginseng). Its description in RNAcentral is "long non-coding RNA (PGIN_LNC015161)". The record is from RNAcentral. Lineage: Eukaryota; Viridiplantae; Streptophyta; Magnoliopsida; Apiales; Araliaceae.
CACAAUGUAGGGUACGAUAGGCUGAUCACCUGGAGUACUUGCAGAGACCGUUUACAAUCUAUUUGAUUGUUAAACCGUCUAAUGGUUUUUGAUGAAACAAAGUAAUGUUCUGGGUAUCCAACACCCCUUAGUAUGCUAUUGAGAAUUCCAGAACUCUUAUCUUUAUAUUCCAGUUUAUCUCUUGAUAUUUAUUUCAACUGUUGAGAAAUAUUCAUACUAAUGCUUUU